This 886-nucleotide long non-coding RNA is filed under the name Brassica rapa (field mustard). RNAcentral's name for it is "long non-coding RNA (BRAP_LNC004885)". The record is from RNAcentral. Lineage: Eukaryota; Viridiplantae; Streptophyta; Magnoliopsida; Brassicales; Brassicaceae.
UGGGAAUUGGAUUGAUUUAGCACUUACAGUUGAAAUUGGGAUUUAGGUUUACACAAAAGAAAGACGAUGGCGACUUGAGGAGGAGGUGACGACGGCGGCUGUGACGGAGGAGUUGUCGACGGCAGCUGUGAUGGAGGAGUUGUCGAUGGUGGCUAAGACGUAAGAGAUGUUGUCUGAGUGGGAUAGGGACGACAGCGACUCUUGAUCGGAGGAGUUGUCGAUGGCGGCUAAGACAUAGGAGAUGUUGUCGGAGUGGGAUAGGGACGACAGCGACUCUUGAUCGGAGAUUGUUCCUGUCCUAUGUCGAUGUUGUCGUGAGAGAGAGGCCCGUCAAAACCAAGGUUUGUUUCUAUUUCUUUUUUUUUGUCGAUUUUUUUUUAAACUUAACAUAUAUUUUCUAAUUUUUAUUUUAUUUAUGUGGCAAUUUUGUAGUUAAUCAAGUUAGUAAUGGACUUUUAGUAAAUUUGCUUAUACCUCAUUUUAGUCUAGUAAUUUAAAUUUAAUAUGAGUUAUUCUAGUAAUUUUUAGAUGAAUAGGAGUUAGUCUAGGUAAUUUCUCAAAAUUAUAUUACUAUUAGAGUCCAAUUUUGAACCGAGAUAAUUACGUAGAUAUGUAGGUAAUUUAUUAGAAAUAAACAAAUGCACAGUUCGAUUCUUUCUCCAUAAUAUUUAAAAUUCUCAUGGUUUUGGGAGGCCAAAUAAAUAAUGGGAUUCAGGACUUAAAACUUUCAGGCACGGUCCUGGAGCCUGGAGGUGAGUUACAAGAUUAGCGCAUAGGAAGAAUUUCCAUAACCACAUGCGCGAGUAUCAAAGUAUUUCUGUGUCAAAGUAGUAUCACCGACUAUAAAUUUCAUAAAUUAGGAAUUGAGGAAGUAACUAUUAAAUCC